AGACCCGUUAGUUGCAAGCACACAGCCGAAACAUCCCCCUUGCCCCUUGUCUUUCCUCCACUUUAACCUAUCCCCAUUUUGUAAGUGUCCAUCCAUAAUAUUAAAGCCAAGGCCCCGUUCUGAGGGCCAACGGAAUAUGAUAGUGUAAAUAUAGGGACUGGCUUAACUGAUGUUCUCUAGGACUAGGAAUGAGAGAAACAAUCCUCCGUAGUUACCAUCCUGUAUCUUACCUUAAGCCUAUGUCUCACACUGUUAAACAAAAAAAAAUCAUGAGAAGCGGUGAAGUGAGCAGAUGUGGGCUGUGCCUUUUUAUAAUGAACAUGGUAAAUUAGUUAAGGAAGUGGGCAAUAUAUAAAGCAGCUGAGUGAGCCUCCCUUCUGCUUACCACCAGAGGUCAGCCUAAAGGAUUAUGGAAGUGUACAGCUGUGAGAUCCCCUCUGCCUGUGAACCUGAACAGAACACCACACCAUAUAUCUUUGUCUUGUUGAUGUCAUGUGACUGUUUGUCUGGAAUGGAUGUGUUGAUGCUGCUGUCUUGGUCCAGUUCUCUCUUGAAAAAUGUAUAUAUUUUUUUUAUCUCCACGAGACUAACUUGGUUAAAUAAGGGUGAAAUAAAUAAAUCAGCAGUUCUCGUUGUGGCUGGCCAUCGUCUCGGAGACCAGUGGAGAGAUAUGUGACAGAUGGUGGCUGGUAGUGGGGCAGAGGGGACAGCGGAGGGGCCCAGGGCAGGCUUGGCAGUGCCCCCAGUACCUGGUGUUCUUUCCUGUGACUGCUACACCGCUGCACUACCAUUACCGCUCUGUCCUGUCCUCAUCAGCCUGUCAGUGAUAGAAAUCUCCCCAAGCACUUUAUAAAGCGCAAUAAAGUGGGGAGUUUUCUUCCAUUUGAACUGCAUUGUUCUGCAGUGGCUGUAGACCUGUGCCAGUUUAACUAUGCAGUGAAGGCAUCCUAUUGGGCACACACUGGUUGAAUCAAUGUUGUUUCCACGUCAUUUCAAUGAAACGACGUUGAACCAACAUGGAAUAGAUGUCGAAUUGCCGUCAGUGGGAUGGCAGUGGCUAAUGUUUGAGUGAGACAAAUGUAUAGAAACACAGUAUCACCCACAAGCCAAAUGAGUGAAUGAAGUUGUCAGCACAAAUCAGAUGUUAUACCACCCCUGCUGACAUUAUCUGAAGUUACGGAACCACCAAUUACAUUGCACUAAAUCAUUGAGCCGCCCACCAUUACCAGACCACUGCUACAACAGCCUCAAGCUGUUGAGCUAGCAGUCAAUGAGUUCGCUCUUCAUAAGAAACCCCAUUGCUGUUAACGCUCAUUUUUUAGUUGCUGUGCCAGGCAGUCAGAAUCUCAUAUUCGCCUCAGAAUGUCUCUCAGUAGACUAGUGUGUGUAGGUGGCAGCAGCCCCAGUAGUUCUGUGCUGUGCUGUCUCCCAUGCACCCAGUGGAGUCGGGCCACAGACUUGUCAAACAGCAGGGCUUUAAUGAGAUGUAAUGCCUCUCUCUCUCUCUCUUUCCUAAAGCGAACACUGACCUCCCGUUGCGCUGUGGUGAUCAGAACAGAGCUGAUCCCUGCUGCACUCAGCUGCUCUGAACAAAGAUAGUGCUUCAAGUGCAUUUUUAGAGUGUGACUUCCUCAUUUAAUCAGCACUCGUUGACAGAGAGAAAGGGGAAGGAGAGAGGAGUGGACGAGAGGAGUGGCUGCAUGGGAAUUGAUAUUUAACAGCCAACUUCCAUGUCAUCUCUUUGAAAUACAAAACUUUUUUUGAAGAUUAAUGGAGAAUUCCAUUAUUUUUAUUGAAACCAACGAAGUGGAAUAAAAAGUUUGAAAAUGGAGAGAUUUAGGAUCAAAGGCCUGGCUGAGCCAUCACUUCACACAGCUAAUUGCCCUGAUCUCACUGUACAGUAGAGUUAAUGAAAACAAAGAGACCGAUUCAUCAUGGCAUCUCUGAGCGUUCCUUUUCAGGGUCCUUAGAGAGCUUAGCCAGAAACAUGCGGAGACAUUAAUCUGUUGUCUGUUAAAAUAAACAACAACAAUCACACUGAAUGGGGUCUUCAUAAGUAACUACUGGCAAUAACUCAAGAUGACGCUAACAAGUUAGAAUUAUACAUCCCCACUAUAUGUAGUUACUUUAAUACUGUAACUAUUCUGAAGCCAAAUUCAUAUGGAUUUAGGUGAGGAAUCCCAGUUAGCUAUAAUAGGAAUUUCUUCUACCCUUGUAUCGGCUGUGUGCUUUGACAUGGGACUGGUUAAGGCUCAGGUGCCCACUGUCUACGGCUCAAAUUAUGUGCCUGAACUGACUAACACAACUCCUACCCGUCAACUGCUUUAUUGACCAUGGACGCCCCUUGACCACCAUGGAUGAUGGUCCUCCUACACACCACAAAAGGUCAUCACAGCCUCAAGCCCAGAGCACCAGACCGUGCUUUCUGCAUUGGCACUGGCCUCUGACCCGAGGCAGGGCACCUCAUGCCCACAUGCCUCUUCCUUCCCAGGCAACAAGAACUAGUCCGGUCGUUGCUGGGUGAAAUGGACAAGUCACUCCUACGAGAGGAGAACUGUAAGAGCAAGGAGCAGCUGGACUCCCAGGAAUUUUCCAUCCUUCCUCGGCCUCCAGGAAUAUAUAUGCUAAUUAAAGCUGACUUCCUAUAUCCUGAGUACAGCAGAGACAGUAUGGUUGACUAGGGACUGUGACUUUAUAAAAGCCCCCAGAGGAAACCCAUAAAGACUACAUGGAGGCUGGGAGGAAUAUUGUGUAUAGGUGGGACUUGAGAGGUGACAGUAACAGACAUCAUAUUUAUGACUUCAACAAAUGAUACCAUAUCUUAUUCAAGGUUACUUGUAGUUAACUUGAUUUGGAAUGUGCUGUGACUCAUGACACUCAAAGGACCUCAAAUUCACAUACUCAUUGCAAUGAAUGGAUGGAUAUUUGAUAUUUAUCGACUUCCUUGACUCUGAAGACUUGGAUUCUACAUUUCUGUGCAUCCAGUUGCAGUGUUGUACGUUCUGAUACCUCCCUGUAGGUGUCAGGGUUACUGCUAUGAAAUACUGAUUAACAGAAAGGCUGUUGGCUAAAUACAGGAGCUGUAUUAGUUCAAUUAAUUCACAAUGUUAAUUCACAAAAGCUUUCUAUAACAAUUACUUCAUACAAAAUACCGCACAGAGUCAUGUCACUGCAAUUGUUUUAAAUUACAUUUCUAGAGGGGGAGGGGAACCCUUACUGUCUUGACUUUCCAUAAAUGUAUGACAUACUUUGAAAAGAUAUCUUUAAAAAAACAGGAAAUCUAACAUUUGGGGGUUUUCUUUUAAUUUCAGUAUGUGUAUAAGCAUGGUUGCAGUGUACAGUAUAAACACUAGGGGGGUUAUUGACACCAUUUAUAUUUUUAACAUGAUAUUUGAGGCUCAUUAUUAUUUUGUUCCCAUGCUAGAUUAACCAAAACAUGCGCACACACGCAUUGUGAAACGUGGCUUGCAUUACAGGAGCCAGGAUUCAAUACGUGUACUGUAUACGGAUAAUGGAUGUGUACACGUCAGUAAAUUAGACCAGCUCUGUUGUUCAUUUGCUCCUCACUACCAGUAGCCCCAACAUCCAAGCCGCGUGUGCAUGCUCAUUGCAAAGACGUCUUAAUAUGGAAAACACUUAGACGCAGCUGGUGCCGAGACCACAUGACAGUUCGAACCAGGAUCAUUUUCUUGUCUUUUCGAAUUUCUAUUGUGAUAUUUUGAUUUAGUAUGAGCUUACUGAGCUUGCUUGCAUGUAUUGGGUUUACUUCCGUCCCGACAUAUUGUGAGUCGACAACUCUGCAAGCUGCGUUCCAGUAAGGAAUAAAUCAUGUAAUAAUCAUGACAUUAUGGAAUAUUGAUUGGAGGAUUCAUUACUUGGUACAUGGAGAAAUAUGUAGAACUAAUUUGGAAUAUUUUUUUGUCAACUUUUUAGUGAUCAUGUACAUAUUUCCAAUGUUUUAGCAAUUGUCAGUGCAGAAACAUCGCUGCCAAAGUCUUGAUGUAUUUUUUUUACACACUCUUGCAAGUGAACAGAAAAGCUUAGAAGUAAACAUGUUUUUACCUACAUAAUAAAAUCUAUGUCGUCUGUUAACCUCAUGUUUUUACCAUCCUGUUUAAUUCAAUUAAAGUGAUAAGAAUGUGAAAAUGA
Molecule: long non-coding RNA, 4149 nt
Organism: Oncorhynchus nerka (sockeye salmon)
Lineage: Eukaryota; Metazoa; Chordata; Actinopteri; Salmoniformes; Salmonidae
Exons: 3
Source: RefSeq, a predicted model, not a curated record